Molecule: ribosomal RNA, 535 nt
Filed under: uncultured bacterium
Lineage: Bacteria
Description: partial 16S ribosomal RNA
Rfam family: Bacterial small subunit ribosomal RNA
Source: RNAcentral
UGGGGAAUUUUGGACAAUGGGCGAAAGCCUGAUCCAGCAAUGCCGCGUGUGUGAAGAAGGCCUUCGGGUUGUAAGCACUUUUGUCCGGAAAGAAAUCCUUGGCUCUAAUACAGUCGGGGGAUGACGGUACCGGAAGAAUAAGCACCGGCUAACUACGUGCCAGCAGCCGCGGUAAUACGUAGGGUGCAAGCGUUAAUCGGAAUUACUGGGCGUAAAGCGUGCGCAGGCGGUUUGCUAAGACCGAUGUGAAAUCCCCGGGCUCAACCUGGGAACUGCAUUGGUGACUGGCAGGCUAGAGUAUGGCAGAGGGGGGUAGAAUUCCACGUGUAGCAGUGAAAUGCGUAGAGAUGUGGAGGAAUACCGAUGGCGAAGGCAGCCCCCUGGGCCAAUACUGACGCUCAUGCACGAAAGCGUGGGGAGCAAACAGGAUUAGAUACCCUGGUAGUCCACGCCCUAAACGAUGUCAACUAGUUGUUGGGGACUUCAUUUCCUUAGUAACGUAGCUAACGCGUGAAGUUGACCGCCUGGGGAGUAC